Salmo salar (Atlantic salmon) is the source of this 523-nucleotide long non-coding RNA. RefSeq lists it as uncharacterized. NCBI's taxonomy places the organism in Eukaryota, Metazoa, Chordata, Actinopteri, Salmoniformes, Salmonidae. The record is from RefSeq and is a predicted model, not a curated record.
CAUGGAACAACUUGGAGUUAUUUGGACAUCAAUUAUGAACUUUGUCAAAAGAAACCACAUUUGUAGUGGACCUGGGAUUUCUAGAAGUGCCAAUGGAUGAAGAUAAUCAAAGGUUCACCAGCUGACCUCUAUCAAGACACUCAUGUCGACUGGAUUCCCACUAUGAAGAUGAGCAAUGCUGCAGCAGCAUCAGUUUCUUCUUCUACUACUUUGCCCUUUUCCAGAUAUGAAUGGAGACAUCCCUCAAUUAUACGAGAUGGUUGCUAUGCUGUGCUUUGGUCAAUCUGAACGAUUCUGUUGUGCCAUUUGAGUAGAGCAUCUUCACCUUGUCGUCAUGACAAAAGUGCCCCCAUAAACCGUAUGAAUAUAUAAAAUGUCAUUUGGAACGAGUAAAGACUAUUGUUUAUGAUAUUGUAAACAUACUGUACUUGAAAAACAAGCUAUAUUGUUGUAUGGGUGAAAUGAAAAGUAUUUUGUCAUCUCUGCUUUCCCUAGCCCCAUUGAAUAAAACGUAUUUAUUAUA